AUUCCUCAUCAUCAUCAUCAUCUUCAACUUCUUCAUUGUUUGUCAUCCCAAUUGUAUACACUUUCUUCUUCUUCUUCUUCAUCUUCUUUGGUUCUUCAUGUUGAUUCAAAUCUCCACUAUCUUCAUUGUCUUCAUCUUCUUCUUCUUCUUUCAUUGUUAAAAUUGAAGAUGUAUCCACAAAUACACCAUUACUCCCACU
This 199-nucleotide long non-coding RNA is filed under the name Physcomitrium patens. RNAcentral's name for it is "long non-coding RNA (PPAT_LNC003032)". Lineage: Eukaryota; Viridiplantae; Streptophyta; Bryopsida; Funariales; Funariaceae. The record is from RNAcentral.